Molecule: long non-coding RNA, 3712 nt
Organism: Solanum pennellii
Lineage: Eukaryota; Viridiplantae; Streptophyta; Magnoliopsida; Solanales; Solanaceae
Exons: 2
Source: RefSeq, a predicted model, not a curated record
CUUAUCCCACUUCCCCUACCCAUCAAAAAUUGUAGUAUGUAAAAUCCAUCAAAACACACCCACACAAUUCUGGUGAAAGAAUUUCUAGUGUACUCAUCACCAACAUUGAUGUCCUUUAUAUUUUGGGAGAAGAAUGUUUGUUUCUCACCUCUGUGGACAUCAAUUGUUCAUCCUAGACUUUAUUCUUCAGGUACAAUUUGAUAUUUACCCUUUAAAUAACUUGAGUUUUCUUCAAAUAAAUAGGGUUAGGAUAAUAAUUGUAAGUAUAUGGAUGUUGUUGUUGCUUUGGUGAUGUUGGUGUUCAAGAAUUUGUCGUACUGUUGAUUUCAAUUAUUCUAUUUUGGGGUUUUUUAAUUUGGGUUACAGAAGGAUGAAUUUGUAGCAUGAUUGAAUCUUAUGUUCAUUUUUUUCACUUAUUCUCUCCUUAUUUAUGGAGUAACUUCUUCUUUCCUGUAUCUUUAGUUAAAAAAUUAAGUCUUUCUCCAAUUGGACUUUCAAAGUUUACAAUCUUGUAGGGAUAAAACAGUGAUUGAAAUUAGAUGGUGAUUUUGUUGGUAGAAGAUUAACUGUGAUAUGCAUUUUGUUGGGUUGUAUGGUAUAAAGUUAUCUUUUGAGUUUUAGAUAUAUGUUUGAUGUUUAAUAGUUUUGCCUCACUGAAUCAUUAUAUUUCAAGUUCACAAUUAGUUGAAAGAGGAAACAUUUUAUGCUUUCGUUAAUUUGCAGAGUCUCUUUUUGAGAUUUGUUGUUCAGUUCUUAUGAAAAAAGUGACAUCUUGUAGGUUCUUUGUUGCUUUUUAUGUGAUCAUCAUUUGAUCUUGUCGUUAUAUUUAGACAAUUUAAAAAUAAAUAUAUAAACUUUAACUUAAGUACUAUUGAUGUUAUGCAAAGAGGACAUUUUGUUUUGUCUGUGUAAGCUGUUUUUGUUUCCCACCAAUCAUGAGAGCUUUGGAUGAAAUGGAUUGUGCUAUAAUUUAUAACUUGAAAAGUGGCCUGAGUUUCUAUAAAUUGUAAAAAUACUGGACCAUUUUGAAUUAUCAAUUGCUCAAAACGUGACUUUGAAGCUUAUUCGAAAUUUAAUCUUUCAAUAUCACAAGAAAGAGCUUCAUCAGUAGACCUAAAAGCUUGGUCAGAUAUAUACAAAUGCUUCAUUAAAUCAGAACGCAUCGAUGUAGUAAUCAAUCACUUCUCCUUUAUAUAAAAUGUCAAUUUUUAAGAAAAAAUGACAUUAAAUGUUGUUAUUUUCCUUCUUCAAACUCCAUGUAUUCCUAUGCGUCCUCCUUCUUUCAUAUCAUAUUCUCCUUCUCUUUAUCCUUCGAUCAGUUUUUCUUUUGUGCCACUCUUGUAGCUUCUUUUCUUUUCCUCUUUACAAUUAUCUCUAUUUCACUCUUGUUUUGUUUAGUUACAGUUCUCUAUGUUUCUUUUUUUCUUUCUUUAUUCUCUUUGUUAUACUUUAUUCAUUAAGUUGAAGAUUUCUUAACUCUAUAUUUCUUGCAUGACAUUCUCAAUAGAAAUUAUGACUUAAAGCUUCAUGUGUUCUUUGUUAGGUCUUGCUUUUGUUCUAAAGUUUGUCCUUCUACAGCCACUUCUCAGAGAAAGGUUCCUUCACGAAAGGUCACCUUCAAUAGCAGCAAGUGGACUAGUUGAACUAGGACAACUUGAUACUCGCUCGUAUUGAUUAAAAUCAAACAUUGUCUUGUUGCCUAGUUUAUGUCUAAUAUUUUGACCAUCUUGUCUCCUUGAAAGAUGCUUUGCUAAUUAAUUGAAGUAUAUGUUUAUGCAUUGUUGGUGUGAAUAAUACGAUAAAAAAUGUGUUUUUAUGUUGUUGUGUAGUGGUUGUUUUCCAUCAAAAUAAGUGAAAGAUCAGCCCUUUCCUUGCUAUUAUUAUGUAUUUCUUGUAACUAAAGUAGUAAACAACUACAAUAUCUUCUCUUAAACAUAUCUUGUUUAGUAAGUUCAAGAAAUAUUCUCAUAAGCUCCUCUAAGAUGUGAGAAAAUAUUUCAAUUAAUUAAAGUUCCCUUGCCAUAAAGAAUUUGUAGUAAAAAUGAUUUGUUAUUCGUUUUAUUGUAUUCUUAUUCAUGAAAUGAAAGUUGUCACUUGUUUGAAUUUCUGUGUUAGUGUUCAAAGGAUAAUUUCGUCUUUCUUCAUAAGAAUUAUUAUGAAAAAAUGGUUUUUAGGAACAAGGAAUAAUUAGAAUAAAUGAUCAAUCAACUUUCCAACUAUGUAAACAAUGGUAUUGCUUGCUUAGUUUUAUAUUUUAUGUAAAUAAUUAAGAUUCAAUAGACAUUGUUCUACUUCUUUUUAUCUUAAAACUACAAUUAAAAAAUAUAAAUGUGAACUAUGAACCUACAGAUAUGAAGCCACUGAUUUGUGCAAGCUUGAAGCAAUUAACAAUUAUAAAUGAGUAUAAAUAUGUUGAUGCUUACAAGUUGUUUACACAUAUUUGCUUUAAAGACUUUUGUGAUUCUUAGAUUUCUUAAGAUAUUAAAGAAAAGACAAUUGUUUAUACUUUCUUUGCUGAAGCUCCUUACUGCUUUUUCCACCAUAAGUCAAUCUUAUUGUGCUUUCCAUUAGAUUAAGUAGUUCUAAUAAAUUUGACCAUCUUUUUUGCUUAAACAAAUGACGACAGACCUUGACUAAGUAAAUGAUGGCUCCGUAUUUUGUUUUAUUAGAUUCUUAAUAUUAUACGGAUUAUAUAUUAAAUGAUAUCACCAUGAAUCAUGUUAUAUAUUUGUCCGAACCUACUGUCUGUUUCCUUUUACUAGCUUAAAAACUUGAGCACAAUUCUCGAGUAGCAGUUAGAAUAUUUCUAUAUGUGCUCCCUCAUGUGAAAUUUUCAUUAUUCCAAUAUACUCAAGUUUUUUAGAAAUUCACAUCUCUAGAAUCACUUAGUUGAGAAAUAUAAAUUAGUUUCUUCUCAAUUAUUCGUAUUUUUGGAUCGUGGUAUAGUCAAGAGAUAAGAUCACAUCGUUUUUCAAGCUCUCUUUCAAUAUAUAUAUUCUAAUCAAUGUCUUUCUGAAAUUUCAAGUUACCUUAAAGUGUAAACUUGUUUGAAUAGUGAGGUGCCCCAUUAUUUUUCUUAUAAUGUGUCAUUGUGUGAAUGUUUUUAAUAUGAUUUAUGCAUCUUUGUGAAACACAAGUUUUUAAUAUAUAUUUAGUGUGAUUGACUCUUUAAUGACGCUUUAAAACAAUCAAACUACUGAAGCAUUUUUAUUCAACAUUUUUAAAUUCAGUCGAUCAUAUGUUUGUAUUUGUAUGUUUGUUAUGUAAUUUAGUAUUUGUUGUCAAUUACUAUGGCUACUCUAAACCACAUUUUCAUUUUGAAUUUACAUGUACACUUGGGAGCAUGUUUGGAAUUUGGGGAAAACUUGAUCUUUGCCUAAAUCAGAUUUAUCUUCAAUGAUAUAUCUUCUCUACUUGAUUUUUCCCACUUUAGAGUUGGACAAUAGUCAGGUAGAGGAAAGUAUUUAUAAGGAAACAAAGUCUGAUAACAUCAACUUCAUCUUCAUUUUUUCAAUUAUUGGUUAAGGAUGGAUUAAGAUGCAUCACUGUCAAGAAAAAAGUGGGUUCACUUUAACCAGUAUAAUGAUUGAUUCAAGUAAUCAACACAGAUUUGUCAUAGCAAGUUGAAGCAUAGGAGAAACACAAUUGUCUUCAUGUUUUGUUUAAAAUGUAAAAGAUGUCCCCAUUUAUACCAACUGAAAUUUUGUCAUGA